RNAcentral lists this ribosomal RNA (444 nucleotides) under uncultured eukaryote. Its description in RNAcentral is "eukaryotic LSU rRNA". It matches the Rfam family "Eukaryotic large subunit ribosomal RNA", at positions 2176 to 2626 of the family's 3401-position model. The record is from RNAcentral.
AAAUGAUGACACAAUGUGAUUUCUGCUCAGUGCUCAGAAUGUCAAUAUGAAGAGAUUUAACCAAGCGCGGGUAAACAGCGGGAGUAACUAUGACUCUCUUAAGGUAGCCAAAUGCCUCGUCGUCCAAUUAGCGACGCGCAUGAAUGGAUUAAUGAGAUUCCCACUGUCCCUAAUUACUAUCUAGCGAAACCACAGCCAAGGGAACGGGCUUGGCAAAAUUAGCGGGGAAAGAAGACCCUGUUGAGCUUGACUUUAUUCAGAAUUUGUGAAAUGGUGCUCGAGGUAUAGAAUAGGUGGGAGUGUAACGAAAUUGAAAUACCACUACUUUUGACGUUGUUUUACUUAUUAAAUAAAAACUAAAAGAUUAAUAAUCUUGAUUCUAGAAUUAACGAAUAUUACAUGUUGACUCCAUGUGGGUUAACCUCUGAUUUGGGAAGUUUGUUU